This 336-nucleotide ribosomal RNA is filed under the name Nocardia takedensis. Its description in RNAcentral is "bacterial SSU rRNA". It matches the Rfam family "Bacterial small subunit ribosomal RNA", at positions 939 to 1276 of the family's 1533-position model. Lineage: Bacteria; Bacillati; Actinomycetota; Actinomycetes; Mycobacteriales; Nocardiaceae. The record is from RNAcentral.
AUGUGGAUUAAUUCGAUGCAACGCGAAGAACCUUACCUGGGUUUGACAUACACCGGAAACCUGCAGAGAUGUAGGCCCCCUUGUGGUCGGUGUACAGGUGGUGCAUGGCUGUCGUCAGCUCGUGUCGUGAGAUGUUGGGUUAAGUCCCGCAACGAGCGCAACCCUUGUCCUGUGUUGCCAGCGGGUUAUGCCGGGGACUCGCAGGAGACUGCCGGGGUCAACUCGGAGGAAGGUGGGGACGACGUCAAGUCAUCAUGCCCCUUAUGUCCAGGGCUUCACACAUGCUACAAUGGCCGGUACAGAGGGCUGCGAUACCGUGAGGUGGAGCGAAUCCCU